Molecule: ribosomal RNA, 378 nt
Filed under: uncultured bacterium
Lineage: Bacteria
Description: bacterial SSU rRNA
Rfam family: Bacterial small subunit ribosomal RNA
Source: RNAcentral
GUAGUCCACGCCGUAAACGGUGGGUACUAGGUGUGGGGGACAUUCCACGUUCUCCGUGCCGCAGCUAACGCAUUAAGUACCCCGCCUGGGGAGUACGGCCGCAAGGCUAAAACUCAAAGGAAUUGACGGGGCCCCGCACAAGCGGCGGAGCAUGCGGAUUAAUUCGAUGCAACGCGAAGAACCUUACCUGGGUUUGACAUAUACCGGAAACAUCUAGAGAUAGGUGCCCCUUUUUGGUCGGUAUACAGGUGGUGCAUGGCUGUCGUCAGCUCGUGUCGUGAGAUGUUGGGUUAAGUCCCGCAACGAGCGCAACCCUCGUCCAAUGUUGCCAGCGGGUAAUGCCGGGGACUCAUUGGAGACCGCCGGGGUCAACUCGGA